This 405-nucleotide ribosomal RNA is filed under the name uncultured bacterium. Its description in RNAcentral is "partial 16S ribosomal RNA". It matches the Rfam family "Bacterial small subunit ribosomal RNA", at positions 30 to 526 of the family's 1533-position model. The record is from RNAcentral.
AUUGAACGCUGGCGGCAGGCUUAACACAUGCAAGUCGAACGAGUGGCGGACGGGUGAGUAAUGCUUGUGACUCUAGCUUCUGGAGGGGGAUAACUCCGGGAAACUGUAGCUAUUACCGCUUACCAUAGGAUGACCCCAAGUGGGAUUAGGUAGUUGGUGCGGUAAAGGCUCACCAAGCCGACGAGCUCUAGCUGGUCUGAGAGGAUGACAAGCCACACGGGGACUGAGACACGGCCCAGACGCCUACGGGAGGCAGCAGUGGGGAAUAUUGCGCAAUGGGGGCAACCUGACGCAGCCAUGCCGCGUGAAUGAAGAAGGCCGUCGGGUUGUAAAGUUCUUUCGGUAGCGAGGCGUUAACUACAGAAGAAGCACCGGCUAACUCCGUGCCAGCAGCCGCGGUAAUAC